GGAUGCGAUCAUACUAGCACUAAAGCACCGGAUCCCAUUAGAACUCCGAAAUUAAGCGUGCUUGGGCGAGAGUAUUACUAGGAUGGGUGACCUCCUGGGAAGUCCUCGUGUUGCAUUCC
RNAcentral lists this ribosomal RNA (119 nucleotides) under Triticum aestivum (bread wheat). Lineage: Eukaryota; Viridiplantae; Streptophyta; Magnoliopsida; Poales; Poaceae. The record is from RNAcentral. RNAcentral also lists the same sequence under 1 other name.